UACGGAGGGUGCAAGCGUUAUCCGGAUUCACUGGGUUUAAAGGGUGCGUAGGCGGGCAUGUAAGUCAGUGGUGAAAUCUUCAGGCUUAACCUGAAAAUUGCCGUUGAUACUAUGUGUCUUGAAUAUCGUUGAGGUUUGCGGAAUAUGUCAUGUAGCGGUGAAAUGCUUAGAUAUGACAUAGAACACCAAUUGCGAAGGCAGCAGGCUAAACGAACAUUGACGCUGAGGCACGAAAGCGUGGGGAUCAAACAGG
This 253-nucleotide ribosomal RNA is filed under the name uncultured bacterium. Its description in RNAcentral is "partial 16S ribosomal RNA". It matches the Rfam family "Bacterial small subunit ribosomal RNA", at positions 524 to 776 of the family's 1533-position model. The record is from RNAcentral.